RNAcentral lists this ribosomal RNA (510 nucleotides) under uncultured bacterium. RNAcentral's name for it is "partial 16S ribosomal RNA". It matches the Rfam family "Bacterial small subunit ribosomal RNA", at positions 28 to 506 of the family's 1533-position model. The record is from RNAcentral.
GAUGAACGCUGGCGGCGUGCCUAAUACAUGCAAGUCGAACGAAACUUCUUUAUCACCGAGUGCUUGCACUCACCGAUAAAGAGUUGAGUGGCGAACGGGUGAGUAACACGUGGGCAACCUGCCCAAAAGAGGGGGAUAACACUUGGAAACAGGUGCUAAUACCGCAUAACCAUAGUUACCGCAUGGUAACUAUGUAAAAGGUGGCUAUACUACCGCCUUUGGAUGGGCCCGCGGCGCAUAGCUAGUUGGUAGGGUAAAGGCUUACCAAGGCAAUGAUGCGUAGCCAAAUUGAGAGGUUGAUCGGCCACAUUGGGACUGAGACACGGCCCAAACUCCUACGGGAGGCAGCAGUAGGGAAUCUUCCACAAUGGGCGAAAGCCGGAUGGAGCAACGCCGCGUGGGUGAAGAAGGUCUUCGGAUCGUAAAACCCUGUUGUUAGAGAAGAAAGUGCGUGAGAGUAACUGUUCACGUUUCGACGGUAUCUAACCAGAAAGCCACGGCUAACUACGU